AUACAGAUGUGUAUGGUUACCAAUGACUGUA
This 31-nucleotide non-coding RNA is filed under the name Mus musculus (house mouse). The record is from RNAcentral. Lineage: Eukaryota; Metazoa; Chordata; Mammalia; Rodentia; Muridae.